UCCAGCUUCUACUCCAUUUUCAGUUCUCCACGCUGUUUUUACUCACUAUCUUGCUCAUUCCUGUCUAUCUGCUUCUAGCUAAUAAUCAGGAAAAAAAACUCCCACCCUCGCCCACAAAGCUUCCCCUCAUCGGCAAUCUCCACCAGUUAGGCCCCCUGCCUCACCGCUCUCUCAAUGUCUUCUCCAAUAAGCAUGGACCGCUCAUGCUUCUCCGUCUCGGACAGGUGCCGUUCCUCUUCGUUUCAUCCCCUGACAUGGCUCGAGAGGUUAUGAAAACCCAAGACCACAUCUUCGCCAACAGACCUCGCAUGACUGUCAUCAAACAAAUUCUAUAUGACGGCAGGGACAUCGCCUUUGCACCUUACGGGCACUACUGGAGGCAAGUCAGAAAGCUCACCAUUCUCCAUCUGCUAAGCUCAAAAAUGGUUCAAUCUUUUCGACACAUCAGAGAGGAGGAAGUAGCACUCAUGAUUGACAAGGUGGCUCAAGAGUCUGCACUAGGGCCAGUGAACCUCAAUGAGUCGUUGAAUUCGUUGGCCAAGGGCGUAAUAACUAGAGUGUGCUUAGGAAAGAGCUCCAAAGAGGAGGGGUGGUACAAUGUCGUUCAUAAAUUGAUCCAAGAGUGCUCGGUGAUGAUGGGAAAAUUCCAUAUAGGGGAUUUCAUCCCGCGCCUCGGAUGGCUAUCCACAGUUACAGGCCUGGAUGCAAAAGCGAAAGAGGUUUUCAACAAAGUAGAUGGGAUUCUGGAUAAGAUCACGGAGGACCAUAUCAAAAGGUCGAGAGAAGAUGCCGACAAGAAUGACGACUUCAUUGACGCUCUUCUCUCUGUUGGCAAGGAUCCAACCCUUGGCCUCCCCUUUAACAAAGAGAACAUCAAAGCCAUUGUGGAGGACCUUGUUGGUGCUGGUACUGACUCCACAUACAUAACAAUGGAAUGGGCAAUGGCGGAGAUUGUCCGAAAUCCACAUGUGAUGAUCAAGUUGCAAGAAGAGUUGAGGCAGAUUGUAGGCUCAAGAUCAACGAUCAAUGAAGACGAUCUCACUAAGAUGAAAUACUUGAAGGCUGUGCUAAAGGAGAGCCUGCGGCUUCAUCCUCCAGGGCCAUUGCUGGUGCCUCGAGAGUCUAUGGAAGAUACAGAGAUACAA
RNAcentral lists this unclassified non-coding RNA (1145 nucleotides) under Hevea brasiliensis (rubber tree). Lineage: Eukaryota; Viridiplantae; Streptophyta; Magnoliopsida; Malpighiales; Euphorbiaceae. The record is from RNAcentral.